RNAcentral lists this long non-coding RNA (2926 nucleotides) under Anas platyrhynchos platyrhynchos (common mallard). Its description in RNAcentral is "lncRNA (ENSAPLG00000024824.1)". The record is from RNAcentral. Lineage: Eukaryota; Metazoa; Chordata; Aves; Anseriformes; Anatidae.
UCCCUGUCGCGACAUGCGCUGCCACACGGCGCUGCCCGCCUCACGCGGGGAGCCGCCCGGUCUUUUUAGGAUUUCCAGGAAGAGCUUUGGCAUCUGACCUUCAAGUGUUAUUAAAAGAAAUCAAAGGUUGUGUAACAGCCUGUGAGAGCCCUGCAUUUCUUAGCGGGGUUGUGUUUCAUCAAAUGCCUCCGCAUUUCUGAGCUUCACAGGUUCUUUAUGCCUUUACUUGUUUAUCCUCUGGAAAAGAUUUACAAAAGCAGCAGCAACAGAAAGCUGAAGAGCGCCAUAUAUUCCCUGUGUGAGGCUACAGAAUAGAGCAACAUCAAUCUCAUUUAAAAAAGUUGAUGCCGUCUCUCUGUUAGAACUUAGCAUUCUGCUUCCACCUCAGCCUUAAGAGAAGGCCCAUAAAUUAUUAAUACUAACAUCAGCGUGAGACAACAGAUGGUAAAGAUUACUUGGAAAAAGUCUUCACACCAAAGUAUUACAGCCCCGGUUUCACAGCCUGCUGGGGUUGUUUCCUGCUUCUGCCAACUUCCCUGGCCCUGGGAGAAACCUCUCGUCCUGUACAGGGGAAGGAACCCUUGGGCAGCCCAAGGGUGCUGUCUAGGUUCAGCUUCAACAGGCAUCUGUACCUCCUUGUUGUCUUGUACCUCCUGGUUGUCCUGACACCUGGUGCCUCUAGAGCAUUCGCCUGUCUCUACUCCACAGACCCAGCGAGCAGCCAACCACUGUGCUAAGGCUCCCUGGGUGCUCUCUGAAACCUGCCACAAGGAAUAGUCUGCAUCUGCAGCUUGUGAUGGCCUCAGGCGACUCCAGGUGCUUCUGGGUUUAGGAAGCUUGGGGAUGUUUACUGGGGCCUCUGGGUCCUGCAUUAGGCAGUAGCUAAUCCAUGGCAAAGUUGCCAUUAGUUCAGACUUAUGCAGCUGUGCCUACGUGACAGACCUGAACAGGCCUGUCUUGCUCAGGGCUGUAGGAAUUAGUGUUUGACUGGCAGACACCUUGCAUAGAUGCAGCUGAAGCUUCUUACUGGAGCAGUUUGUUGGUAAAAGCUCACUGGCAGUGGCAACUGAGAGGGAGGAGGUCAUGAUGGAAAGGCUUGCUUCUGUCAUGCUGCUCCAUCAGGUGAAAACUGCUGCUGUGGUGGAGCAGUACUCCUGUAUCAGCAAGGGGCUAUUUUGGUGUUAUUUUAGACUGCGUAGGCUGUCUGAAGAGCAGAUGUGCUAACUGGGACAACUGGAGCUGUCCUGAUGAAUGCCCUGUGCAACAAAUAACUGUGUCUAGGGGCUGGUUAUCUUCACUACCCCACCUCUGGUCACCUGCAGAGCCAGUGCAGGAAAGCACCAAACCAUUGGUGGGUUUGGAGCUUUAAUCAUCAUCAGCUAACUCUGCAGGAUGAGGCACCUAGAAACUUCUCAUCUGAUGGGUUUUGUUUAUUACUAGAGCUUGAGUGAUGGAGAUGAGUAACACAUGAAGCUUCCUGAAUCAUCUCCUGGAAUAUCUUUCUCACUAGACCUAAGCCUUGCAAAUGUUUUCCAUUGCAUUCCUGUCUUCUGUUCAGCCCUGUGAGAGCUUCAUCCUUCAGCCAGUUAAACCCAUUUCCUGGCCCCAUGUGUGCUUAACCUCAAACAUGUCAUAGCCUAGUACAGGCUAUAUGCGUAUCAUAUGUGCAUAUGUGCGUAUCAGCUUACAGCUGUAUGUGUACCUUUCCCUUUGGAUGUGCCUAGGCAGCUAGGGAAAGUUCUCAAAAAUGGAGAUCUGCAUGAGAGAAAAAAAAUAGAAAACAACAGAAAACUUUAGUGAGGAGGAUAGCUAACUGUCCUAGUUAAUGACCUCUCUGAGAAGCUUAUCAAGCAAAUACUGAAUAGUCUUUGAACUUGCCCUUAACACAGGAAUUGAUAUUGGGCUCAUCAGUGCUGCAGAAUUACAGUAUACUUCAGGGAAUUGUUUAUCGCUGUGAUCCUCAAAAAUAGGAUGACUGGAUGGUUAGAGGCAAAUACCAGCCAUUUUGUCCUGGCAUGGGCUGGGUUUUCAAACAGUUUGAGAAGAUGAAAGCUAUAUUCUGUUUUGCUUAUGGUUGUUAUCCUGCCUGCUAUUAUCUCUAAGCAUCUAUGAGAUAAUGUUUCAUUUAGAUAGACUAACUCAGAUUUUUAUAAAAAGCAUUUUCUGUAUUUUUUUCUCUCUCUCUCUUUUCUUUUUUUUUUUUUGAUGAGGUAUAUCCAAACUGAUGUACCUCAUGGCCUGGUUUCUAAUGUAUCUACCACCUUGAGGCCUCUUUAGCUCUAGGCUUUUGUGUGUGCUUUACUGAAGUGGUAACUUAAUAGACUAAGCACUUAACUUUGGUCUUGGAUUUUUUAGAAACUGACCUCAACUUUAUAUUCUGCCUGUAACUAAACAGUAGUAAAAAAGCAUAUUUCACUCUUACAACUUGACUUUGCUUUCAAAGAAUCUCAGAAGUUAAUUCACUGAUCGCUGAAUCCUUCUGCAUCUGGAGUGAUACUACUGUUAAACGAUUUGUGAAGGCGAAAUACUGCUAUGCCUAUAGUUCACACUUACAUGUGUGAGACACAUCUCACUUUACACAUCAUGGCUAGACCAUUCCAGCAUAAAAUUAGAAGGGAAAGGAGAAACUAAUUGUAAGAGGCGGCAUCAGGAGAAGUACCGUCCUCCCCUCUGAAAAUGGAGGAUUUAAGUUCUACUUCCUUCUAUGUGAUUAGUUAUUUGGAGAACAGCUGUUUGCCAUGGACUAGGCAGCAUUCCAGCUGUGUGACAUUAUUGACAUACCCUAGUCAUCACCCAACUCUGCCUACACAUUCUGCCUACAUGCUUGAAAUGCUCGUUCCAUCAUCUUUUGGGUCAACAGGAGACGGGAGUCUGUGUGAAGGUUGAGAUCAGUGCACUGCUUUAAUAAACAAGACUUCUAAUUCCA